This 2940-nucleotide ribosomal RNA is filed under the name Priestia megaterium. Its description in RNAcentral is "Bacillus megaterium 23S ribosomal RNA". It matches the Rfam family "Bacterial large subunit ribosomal RNA". The record is from RNAcentral. Lineage: Bacteria; Bacillati; Bacillota; Bacilli; Caryophanales; Bacillaceae.
AUGGUUAAGUUAGAAAGGGCGCACGGUGAAUGCCUUGGCACUAGGAGCCGAUGAAGGACGGGACUAACACCGAUAUGCUUCGGGGAGCUGUAAGUGAGCUUUGAUCCGGAGAUUUCCGAAUGGGGAAACCCACUGUUCGUAAUGGAACAGUAUCUUUAUCUGAAUACAUAGGAUAUUGAAGGCAGACCCGGGGAACUGAAACAUCUAAGUACCCGGAGGAAGAGAAAGCAAAUGCGAUUUCCUGAGUAGCGGCGAGCGAAACGGAAUUAGCCCAAACCAAGAGGCUUGCCUCUUGGGGUUGUAGGACACUCUAUACGGAGUUACAAAGGAACGAAGUAAAUGAAGCGACCUGGAAAGGUCCGUCGAAGAAGGUAACAACCCUGUAGUUGAAACUUCGUUCCCUCUUGAGUGGAUCCUGAGUACGGCGGAACACGUGAAAUUCCGUCGGAAGCUGGGAGGACCAUCUCCCAAGGCUAAAUACUACCUAGUGACCGAUAGUGAACCAGUACCGUGAGGGAAAGGUGAAAAGCACCCCGGAAGGGGAGUGAAAGAGAUCCUGAAACCGUGUGCCUACAAGUAGUCAGAGCCCGUUAACGGGUGAUGGCGUGCCUUUUGUAGAAUGAACCGGCGAGUUACGAUCCCAUGCAAGGUUAAGCUGAUAAGGCGGAGCCGUAGCGAAAGCGAGUCUGAAUAGGGCGUUUAGUAUGUGGUUGUAGACCCGAAACCAGGUGAUCUACCCAUGUCCAGGGUGAAGUUCAGGUAACACUGAAUGGAGGCCCGAACCCACGCACGUUGAAAAGUGCGGGGAUGAGGUGUGGGUAGCGGAGAAAUUCCAAUCGAACCUGGAGAUAGCUGGUUCUCUCCGAAAUAGCUUUAGGGCUAGCCUCAUGUUGUGAGAGUCUUGGAGGUAGAGCACUGAUUGGACUAGGGGCCCCCAACGGGUUACCGAAUUCAGUCAAACUCCGAAUGCCAAAGACUUAUCCAUGGGAGUCAGACUGCGAGUGAUAAGAUCCGUAGUCAAAAGGGAAACAGCCCAGACCACCAGCUAAGGUCCCCAAGUAUACGUUAAGUGGAAAAGGAUGUGGAGUUGCUUAGACAACCAGGAUGUUGGCUUAGAAGCAGCCACCAUUUAAAGAGUGCGUAAUAGCUCACUGGUCGAGUGACUCUGCGCCGAAAAUGUACCGGGGCUAAACGUAUCACCGAAGCUGUGGAUUGACAUCUUAGAUGUCAGUGGUAGGAGAGCGUUCUAAGUGCAGCGAAGUCAGACCGUAAGGACUGGUGGAGCGCUUAGAAGUGAGAAUGCCGGUAUGAGUAGCGAAAGACAAGUGAGAAUCUUGUCCACCGAAUGCCUAAGGUUUCCUGAGGAAGGCUCGUCCGCUCAGGGUUAGUCGGGACCUAAGCCGAGGCUGAAAAGCGUAGGCGAUGGCCAACAGGUUGAUAUUCCUGUACCACCUCCCCGCCGUUUGAGUAAUGGGGGGACGCAGUAGGAUAGGGUAAGCGCGCUGCUGGAUAUGCGCGUUCAAGCAGUUAGGCUGAUGAGUAGGCAAAUCCGCUCAUCAUAAAGGCUGAGCUGUGAUGACGAGGGAAUUAUAGUACCGAAGUUCCUGAUUCCACACUGCCAAGAAAAGCCUCUAGCGAGGCGGGAGGUGCCCGUACCGCAAACCGACACAGGUAGGCGAGGAGAGAAUCCUAAGGUGAUCGAGAGAACUCUCGUUAAGGAACUCGGCAAAAUGACCCCGUAACUUCGGGAGAAGGGGUGCUCUGGUAGGGUGUAUAGCCCGAGAGAGCCGCAGUGAAUAGGCCCAGGCGACUGUUUAGCAAAAACACAGGUCUCUGCGAAGCCGCAAGGCGAAGUAUAGGGGCUGACGCCUGCCCGGUGCUGGAAGGUUAAGAGGAGGGGUUAUCCUUUGGGAGAAGCUCUGAAUCGAAGCCCCAGUAAACGGCGGCCGUAACUAUAACGGUCCUAAGGUAGCGAAAUUCCUUGUCGGGUAAGUUCCGACCCGCACGAAAGGCGUAACGAUCUGGGCACUGUCUCAACGAGAGACUCGGUGAAAUUAUAGUACCUGUGAAGAUGCAGGUUACCCGCGACAGGACGGAAAGACCCCGUGGAGCUUUACUGUAGCCUGAUAUUGAAUUUUGGUACAGCUUGUACAGGAUAGGUAGGAGCCUGAGAAGCCGGAGCGCUAGCUUCGGUGGAGGCGUCGGUGGGAUACUACCCUGGCUGUAUUGAAAUUCUAACCCGCGGCCCUGAUCGGGCCGGGAGACAGUGUCAGGUGGGCAGUUUGACUGGGGCGGUCGCCUCCUAAAAUGUAACGGAGGCGCCCAAAGGUUCCCUCAGAAUGGUUGGAAAUCAUUCGUAGAGUGUAAAGGCACAAGGGAGCUUGACUGCGAGACCUACAAGUCGAGCAGGGACGAAAGUCGGGCUUAGUGAUCCGGUGGUUCCGCAUGGAAGGGCCAUCGCUCAACGGAUAAAAGCUACCCCGGGGAUAACAGGCUUAUCUCCCCCAAGAGUCCACAUCGACGGGGAGGUUUGGCACCUCGAUGUCGGCUCAUCGCAUCCUGGGGCUGUAGUCGGUCCCAAGGGUUGGGCUGUUCGCCCAUUAAAGCGGUACGCGAGCUGGGUUCAGAACGUCGUGAGACAGUUCGGUCCCUAUCCGUCGUGGGCGUAGGAAAUUUGAGAGGAGCUGUCCUUAGUACGAGAGGACCGGGAUGGACACACCGCUGGUGUACCAGUUGUCUUGCCAAAGGCAUCGCUGGGUAGCUAUGUGUGGACGGGAUAAGUGCUGAAAGCAUCUAAGCAUGAAGCCCCCCUCAAGAUGAGAUUUCCCAUAGCGCAAGCUAGUAAGAUCCCUGAAAGAUGAUCAGGUUGAUAGGUCAGAGGUGGAAGCGUGGCGACAUGUGUAGCUGACUGAUACUAAUCGAUCGAGGACUUAACCAAAA